CCGUGUUAUCUAGAUUACUCCGCCAGGCUCCCGAAAGAGGAAUCACGAAUGAGAAUAGAGGAACAUUUCUGCACAAUACAGAUCGAACAACCCCGUGGAGGCACAUGGGCAGUUGCUCGACGGAUUUCUACUGGGAAGCGGCCUCUGGCACAUGUCAGCCUUGUAAUGAACUCUGUCAUCAAGCAGAGGUCAGAGGGACUGUCGAACCCUGCAGGAGACUAUGUCCAGUAUCGCUACCGGAGGCUGCGACAGCAACACUCACUGCUCCAGCUACAACAACAUCUGCAACCCUACCAUCACACGAUAUCUCAAGCAGUGAACACUAUUGGUAUUCGGCGGCAGAAUAUGCUGUCACUAUACUGGCAGUGGGCAUCGUCCUGAUUUCUCUGGUGUCCUUAACAGUUCUGCUGAGGAAAGAAAUUCAGUCGCUCUUUUCCCAAAAAUAUACCAGUCAGAGAAAGCACAGUUCUAUGGAAUCCGAGAAGUGACAUUGUCGCUAUGUCGCAUUGUUGCCCUCUCAAAAACAAGUAAAGUCAGGCAAAAUAAACCAAAACGCGACACGCGACAUCGCAACAACGCGACAUUUCGCCCAUUUGUCGCAUUGCGACAAUGUCCCUUCCAGGAUUCCAUAGAAUAUACAUGUAUAGUUUCACAUUAAAUCUGUAAGGCUCAUUUUCCAAAACAUCUAGAAUAUCAUUUGGAUAAUUUCGUUUUUAGAUAUGAUAAUUAAUUGUAUGAUGCACAUUGCACUUUACUCAUGAAGAAUAAAACAAAUAAAGAAUGGUAUUUUGCGUUGCGUUUUGUCAUCAAUGAAAAUCGCUGAACAUUAUGGAGAGUUGAUUAAAUACAGUCGUGUGGUCAUACUUGCUGGGGGCAUUUAUUCGACUAUGUGGAUAUUAGUUCUGAUUUAAUCUAUAACAUGGUGAGUGAGUUUACCAUAUAACAUACAACAAAUCGUUACACCCAGUCAGUUGGUAUUUGAAGUAGCAAUAAAUGGACUAAACCGAUAUCUGAAGUCUGCAGCCUUGGUCCAGGGAUCUUGUGAGCAAAGAUCUGUCACACUUAGGAUGUGUCUUUAGUUCCUGUGAACAGGAAAUUACAUAACAAUUAAGAUAGAAAGCUACAAGUUGGGUUUUCCCAUUUACGUCACUGUCACGUGACUAAAUAUCGGUGGCGUGAGCUAUAGAGGUCAUACGCAAGGUAAUCCAGGAUAUAUAGCAUGGUGAAUCUUUCUCAAAGCACCAUAAUGUUCGUCUCCACCACCAGACACAGGAGGGUCCCCACACACCUCCUUAAUCAGAGCUGGGGUAACGUGACACUGGAAAGAAGACUUCAUUUGGAUAGGAUUUAUCACUGUCAUGCCCGACUCAGUCGAAACAGAUUUUCGAAGGGCAUUGGUUAAGCCUAGUUCGAACAUAGUAGGAUUCGUGUUGGCGUCUGUGUUCCUAUGCACAGUACUAGGGAAGCCGAUAUGUGAAGUAGGGACGUACUAUGAUACUGGAACCGACAACUGUGACCCUUGCAGUCAUAUAUGUGAGAACUCCGAGGUGCAAAAAACAACAGCCGAAUGCGAAACUAAAUGUCCAGGAUAUGGUCGCAGAGAAUCUCCACACGGAAGGAAAUGCCCAUAUCUACACUAUUAUGAUGCCGUUGUGUCUCGAUGUGACUCCUGUGAGGGUCUCUGCAUCCAUCUUGGAUCACAUGAACGGGACCAUGAAGAAAAAUGUCGACGUCACUGCCCUGAGUGGCCUGGUAAUAGCACUACAACUGUCUCUCCACAAGACUCAACCAUGACAAAUUCUCAGAACAAAUCACUCGUCACCUACAACCUACCUUACUCAUUGGUCAUCCUACUUGCUACGUGUGUGGUGGCGGUUGCUGCAGUUGGCGUUCUGUGUGUGUUCUUGAUCAGGAGGAAGAAGUGUUUCUGUCAGCGUCCAUCUAAACCCAUACCAGAACUCCUGACUGGCGAAGGAAACCCUCUAACACAUCCCGAGGAUGACCAUCAGGGUGAUGGAAGAUGUCUAACCCAUUCAGUGUAAUAUAUAAAACAGGUUCAAAAUAAACAAGUUUAAAAAUUCA
This is an RNA transcript of Haliotis rubra (blacklip abalone), 2082 nucleotides long. RefSeq lists it as uncharacterized. Lineage: Eukaryota; Metazoa; Mollusca; Gastropoda; Lepetellida; Haliotidae. The transcript has 9 exons. The record is from RefSeq and is a predicted model, not a curated record.